RNAcentral lists this transfer RNA (77 nucleotides) under Ammoniphilus oxalaticus. Its description in RNAcentral is "tRNA-Met". It matches the Rfam family "tRNA". Rfam says of the family: Transfer RNA (tRNA) molecules are approximately 80 nucleotides in length. The record is from RNAcentral. Lineage: Bacteria; Bacillati; Bacillota; Bacilli; Caryophanales; Paenibacillaceae.
GGCGGUGUAGCUCAGCUGGCUAGAGCGUACGGUUCAUACCCGUAAAGUCGGGGGUUCAAGUCCCUCCGCCGCUACCA